RNAcentral lists this long non-coding RNA (1237 nucleotides) under Ananas comosus (pineapple). RNAcentral describes it as "long non-coding RNA (ACOM_LNC020902)". Lineage: Eukaryota; Viridiplantae; Streptophyta; Magnoliopsida; Poales; Bromeliaceae. The record is from RNAcentral.
AAAAUAACUUACAAUCUCAUAUUCUCAAAUGCUUCGUUUGGUUCGGGGUUAAAUAAUAACCAGUUAUUUCAGAAAUAUGUAUAAGUUUAGGUGUAAGCCUGAAAUAGACCAAUUUUGCGUUUAGAUUAAAAUUGAGUUGUUUCCGGAAUAUUUGUAUAGAUAAGAUGAAAUAAGAAGAAUAAUGGACAGUUAUAAAUAAAAAAUAAUGAUAUUGCUUCAAUUAUUAUAUUUGAAUUUAAAUUUUUUUAUUUUAUAUUUNUAAAUCUCAAAUUUAAAAAUUUAAAGUUAUAAAUUUUAAAUUUUAAAUCAAAUCUAAAUUUACAAAUAUAAAAUAUCAAAUUUAAAAUUUAAAUAAUUAAAAAUAACAAUUUAAAAUUUAAAAUUUAAAAUAUUAAUUUUAAAAUUAUAAAUUAUAAAUUUUUUAAAUUUAAAAUUUAAAUUAUAAAUUUAAAUAUUAAGGGGGUGGGGUUAGCUAACCCCUCACACCCCCACCACCACCCUCCCUCAAAAAAAAGUGUUUGGGGGUGAAAUAGCAUUUUUAGUGUUACGCCUCAGGGCCGAUUUUAAAAAGUCUUUUUUAUAAUGAAUAAUAUUUUAGAAAUCAGAGUUGUGGAAAACGUACCAUUUUUUUUUUUAAACAGUCUGAUCCACGUGACGUACAAACCCAUCACAAAUACAAAAUUUCUCUGCCCACACGAACAGAAUUUUCUUUGUAUUUGCACGAUGUACCGAACAACAAAAUCAACAGGACCACAACAACAAUCUAUAUUCACCAAUCCACAAAUAAAAGAUGCGAUGCAAUUCCAUACAACUAGCCAUCCUUAAGGAUGAUGUUUGUCUCUAAACACUCCUUCGGUGCUUCUUAGGUGCUGAAUAAUACGAUACACAAUACAAUAAUCAUUCUAUUUAAAAGUGGUCUCCGCCCAAAAAUUUUGUUUUUAAAAUCUAUUUGUUCAUCCAUGAAAACUAUUCAAAAACCUUUUAAAACUGUUUCCCACACGAAAAUUCCAUCUUUGAAAACUGACUAUCUCGAGCGGUAGAAAACCACAGGACGUGAAUCUAUAAAUCCAUGUAUUGAAGAUUCAUAAAACUCUGAUUAUAUGCAUAAUAGAAAACACCAACUCGUAUAAGUUCACAAUUAUUCAAACAAAUUACAAUAAUCAUCUAACUGAACCAUUUUAUUAUUUAAACUACUAAAUGCGGAAAGAAAAAUAACCAGAGUAACGACCACUACUGC